UGGAAGGAGGAGGAGCCCGGCGGAAUUAUAAUGCUCGGUGCUCUUAUCAUCUUUGGUCUAAUUUAGUCGUGUGGUGAGACACCAGAAUAGGUAUGUGGGGUAAAUGAGGGAAAGCAGAAAGAGAGAGAGAGAAACAGAGUGAGGGAGAAAGAGGGAGAAGAUCCCAAUCUGUAGUCAAUUUGUGCGUUUUUACGCGUGAAACUCCAGUCCAGCAGCACUUUAUAGGCUUUCAUGUAAAAGUAUUUGGACAAGUCGACUCGGGUUCCGUUAGAGGCCGCAGCUUACAGAUUCACAUAUUUUUCUCGACCCACAGCGCGGACAAUCCUUUGUUUUUGUAAAGGUAAUGCAGAGCUGGACCAUAUAUCAGCUUUGAUGAUACCUCCUCUGGGGCGGGAGAGAGGCGGCAGCACGCAUCCCUCUCAGCGACGCCAACCCGGGCCGUAACUCAGGCAGAAAAGGCUCAUUUUAUUUAUCAUCCGAGAAAUACUUCAUUUCCUCUCAGAGCACCGAGCAUCCUGCAGCUGUGACGGUGAAGGCUUCUUUCUGACCCUGGACUCACAAAACGGCGAAUAUUUGCAUAUGGCUUUGCCGCGAACAAAUCUGUAUUUUAUUUGAAAAUAAAAGAACAAAGAAACACAUUUUACAAUGCAGUUCAGAAGGAACAUAAGAAAAUCCAGUCAGUGUUUAUUUGAUGCUGCUGGGGGAGAAACUACAUCAGUGGCAGGUGUUGAUUGGAGCCCUUUACACUGCGGUCUGCGAGCUUAAAGCGCCACCAUGCUGUAUGCAGGGUUUGUGUGCGAGAGUGGCGUGGAGAGACACGGCUCUCACUGCAGACUGUGCCUGCGAUUAGACCAGCUGCAGGGGAAACUGUUCCCUUUCGAGCCAUUUCGUGACACGCCACAGAUGGGUGUCAUAUCUCCCCUUCUCCUAAAGGCCCGCCAGUUAUCUUUGUGACACCAGAUAUGGAUUCAGCAGAGGGAACCGGGGAAAAAAAGCCUGGCCCAGACUCGUGUGUGUCCGUUAAACUUGUAAUGUAUAAAUCACAAGUCAUUACCAGAGGUCAGCGACUGAGGAGCAACCAUUGGAUGGUUCCAUUGCGAGGGCCAGCCUGGUUGGAGGAGAGAGGAUUUAUCUGGCAGUUGGAUCUCUGGAGAGGCAGCCAUAUUUUAUGUGACUAGAGAUGUAAUAACAGGCCUUUGACAAAUCCCCGACGGCCCGGCUCCCGCAGCCUCGCUGUGCAGAGCCAAUGCAGCUGGAACAGCAGAUUAUGAGGAGCACCAUUAGCAGUAUGAUGUGCACAGACUCAGCAAAGUGUUUUUCUCUUCUUUUUUUUUUUCUUUCUCUUUAAGACAAUAUAGUGGCACCUAACAAGUUAUUGGUUUUCAGUCAUACAUACAGGUGUUUCUCAAUUAACAUUUUUGAGAAGUACAUUUGUUUUAGUAAUUCAGCUCAAAAAACCAAAGUAAUAUAUUUUAUAGAUUCAUUACAUACAGAGUGGCAUAUUUCAAUUAUUAACUUCUGUUAUUUUGAUGAUCAUGGCUUACAGCUAAUGAAAACACAAAAAAGUUUGUUUCUCAGAUAAUUAGAAUGUGACAAAUGGCCGAUAAAAGAAUAAUUUUUAUUAAGGAAAUGUAAAUCUAGUUAAGAGUAUGUCCAUGUCUGAAAUGCUAUAAAGUCCUUUGCUUUACAAUUCCCCAGAGAUUAUCCAUGUUAAGUACGAACCUUUUUCUGCCAUACUUUUUCCUUCCACUCAACUUUUCACUUAUUUCCUUCGAUACACCGCUCUAAACAGCCAAUAUCUUAAACAAAAACCUUUUAUGGCUUAUCCUCCUUAUGGAGGGUGUCAGUAACUGUCUGCAGGUCAAUUGACAAACGUCUUCCCAACAACUGUGAAGGCCAUAAUUUGGAUGCAACAUUUCUGUAUUAACAUUUCUUUCAUUUUGGUCAUUUUGAAUGUUGCAGUUUUUAGAGAAGAUAAAUUUGGAGGGUUUUUUUUGCUGCAAAAUUCACAGAAAUAAACUCUUGAAACAUAAUCAGAUUGCAUUGUAUAUACUGUAUGUAAUAUGUAAAUUUUAAAUUUUUGAAUAGAAAAACCCCCAAAGAAAUCAAUCAACGUUUUGAGGAUAUUACAGUUUAUAGAGCUUAAGCUGGAUUUGCUAACAUUGCCACAAAUAAAAACUUAAAAAGCUGCCUACUUGGUAGCCUAAACCUACUUAAAAAUAAGAUAUGUGUUGAAAUUAGAAACAGAUUUCUAAAUAGAUUUCAGAAAGAUUGCUGCAGGACAUGACAUUAAUCUUGGGAAAGUCUUUGCUGUAGUGAAUUAAAAUUUGCUUUAACAUAUUUUACUCUGGCUGAUGCAUCUUGCUAUAGAUGGGAAAUGUCCUGUUGAAAAAUAUACAGUCUUAGACAUUUGUGUCUGAGUCUGCUUUUUGUUUUAGAAAACUUAUUGCAUCGAUUUCAUUGUUCACAAAAGGAGAAAAAGCAUUUCAGUAAUAAAGUGCACAUUGGUGGAAAUAGAAAUCAAAAUAUAAAGCCAAAGAUAACCCUCCUCCCUCUAAAAAAAAAAACAACAAAAAAAACGCCACAUGCUAUAAUAAAAUACCGCAAAAAGUGAGAAAUUAUCAAUUAUCCAAUUUUAUUUAUAUAGAACAAAAUCAAAAACAAAAAUCUUGAACCAUGUUGCAUGAAAGCAAAAUUCAAUAGCAUAGGAAAUAUAACAGUUACAAUAAUGUUAUCUAUAAUAUCUUUCCUCUGUUUUUUUAUUUGAAGGCAUUGACUUAAGCAAAAACCUUUGGCAACAUGUUUUGACAUUGUCCUCUUUACAGAGUACAAGUCUGACAAGGUGAUUUUGGCUGGUUAAAAGUUAAGCUAUCUGCUCCUGUAGCUAGCCUGCAUAUGACCAUAUGAUGCUCAUAUGUUGCCAGCUGUAGUUUUAAGAAGGUGUUUACUCUAAAAAUAGUAAUAGGUGGGGCUUCCUUAAUUUUCAUACUUUAAAUAUCCAUGUUUUUUACAACAAAAAGUAUUUACAAACAGCUAAAUUUGUCUUUCUCGUGAUCAAAAGAUUAGAGUAGAAGCCAUUUUUCAGCCAUCUGACUGAAGGAGCAAAGCACCACCCAACAGGUGCUGGAGGGGCAUUGCUGCAUUACUCCUUUCCCCACAGCAGAUUCUGUGACUCAUAGCUGAAAAAACCCCAGAAAACUCAGGCACUCUCACUGGAAUUUCAUUAAAAGGACUUUUAAACCUAACGAAAGGCGGAAUAAAAAGUUAAAUAGCUGUUUUAAACCUUUGCAAACCUUAAUGUGGGCAACCAGCUCAUCCCUAAAGACUCCUUGCUUUUGCACUUGUUACAAAAUGAAGAAUCCAGUUUUUUUGAAGACAAUAUGUGGGAAUUUGCACAAAUUGCAUUCCCACAUUAUAAAAACUAGACAAAAUUUACUCUGGCCUAAUGUUUCCUACCCACAGAAUCAAAAUAAAAAAUGUGGAUAUGGUGUAAAUUUUUUCAAAAGAUUAUCAAUAUAGACAUCAGAGAUUAUGUUAUCAAGCCACAUCCCAAAAUAUUUAUAAAACAUAACCCUGAUUUAAUCUUGUGGUAACUGUAAAGUUAAAGGUUAAUGAGCAGGAGCUUACUAAGCUGUAAAAAAACAUUUGCCUCUGUUUUAGCUCUUUUGUUGCAGUUCUGUAUUUCAGAUCAAUCUACAAUUCUUUAUAACAGACAAAAAGAGCAUAUUGAAGUUUUCAUGUGUAUAUUUAAUUUUUUUAAGGACAGAAAGGUAAAUUCUGAUAACAUAAAGUAGGCUGUAAAUACAAAAAAUGAUUUCCAAUCUCAACAAAUUCAAGACGAGAUGAGAAACAAAGUUAUUGACUGUUUUAGGACUCCGGCGAACCCCAGUGGGAGACAUUUUUCACAAAUGAAGAAAACAUGGAACAGUGGUGAACCUUCCCAGGAGUGAGCAGCCCUCAAAAAUUACUCCAAGAGUGCAUCCAUGACUUGUCCAGGAGGUCACAACAGAACCUCGAGCAACAUUUUAAGCACUGCAGACCUUAGGUGCCUCAGUUAAGGUCAGAGUUCAUGAUUAUAUAAUAAGAAAGAGAAAAAAGUCAUUGAUUGGAGGGUUCCAAGUAGAAAACCACUACUGAUCAAAACAACAAAAAUGGCCAUUACAUGUCUCUUUAUAAAACGUUUGGGAAAAUAGAGCCCGACAAAUAUGGAACGUUUGGAAGUUGUGCACUGUGUUACAUUUGGUGUAAAACUAACGAAAGAAUAAAAUCAAUUCUAUUACUGGCAGUCAAACUCAGUGGUUGUAGCCCACCUAUCUCACUGAGGUUACACAGCAGAACAAUAAUCCAAAACACACCAGAAAAUACUCAUUCAUACAGGUAUGGGUUGGUUUGAAUAGCUUUCCUUUAAUAAAUGAAAUCAUAAUUUGGUCUGGUUGAUCAUUUGAAGCAUGCAGGAUCUCCAAAUGAUGUUGUCCCUGGCCAACUGUUUCUACUUUUAUUUCGUCUAUCACUCAUCUUCAGAGGGUGCAAAAAGCAGCAGUUCAUUUUAACUGGUGCCAGGAAGGUUUUUAGCAGAUUUCCUCUGAUUUUAACGUACCUUCAUUGGCUGCCCAUUCCAUUUAGUAUUCAUUUAAAAUUCUUUUGUUUGCUUUUCAAGUCCUCCAUAGCCUUGCCUCAUCCCAUCUCUCUGAACUGUUGCAUCCUUAUACACCUACCAGCUCGGUGCCAGCAUAAACUUAGAGGAGACUGUGCUUUUGCUGUAGCAGCUCCCAAAUUGUGGAAUGAUCUGCCCUUGGAUUUUGACAGGAGUCUUCUCUGUCUGUUGUUAAACCCCUUUGAAAACCCAUCAUUUCACCCUUGCCUUUCACACCUUGUAAGAUGUUGGUUUAGGUCAUUUUAGUUGUUUGUAGUUUAUUCUUAUGCUGUUUUCAUAUUGUUUUAAUAUGUGGCUAGUUGCUUGUGUAUAGUGUGUUUGUAUGUGUUUUUAAUUUCAACUAAAGCACUUUUGUCCUCCACUAGUUGUUUUAAAGUCAAAUAAAGUUGGAUUGGAUUGGAAAA
Long non-coding RNA from Girardinichthys multiradiatus, 5058 nucleotides. RefSeq lists it as uncharacterized. The record is from RefSeq and is a predicted model, not a curated record. Lineage: Eukaryota; Metazoa; Chordata; Actinopteri; Cyprinodontiformes; Goodeidae. The transcript is spliced from 3 exons.